Meriones unguiculatus (Mongolian gerbil) is the source of this 1169-nucleotide long non-coding RNA. RefSeq lists it as uncharacterized. The record is from RefSeq and is a predicted model, not a curated record. The transcript has 3 exons. Lineage: Eukaryota; Metazoa; Chordata; Mammalia; Rodentia; Muridae.
AGUGGAUAUCUGAGCUCACGUUGCUUCAUGCUGCCCACGCAGUCUCUGCUCAAAGCAGGCAACAAAGCCACAGAAGUCUAGGUUGGUAGUGCUUAAACUAAGUGCUAACGACUCAAGUUAUCAAAAUACAGACCAUGCACCAGAUGUAAGGCACCCUGAACAUCUUUUAAGAAAGAUUUUACUUUUAUUUUUAAUUAUGUGCAAGUGUGUCUAACCGUGUUUGUUGAAUGCAAUGCCCAAGGAUACCGGAAGAGGCUGUUGGAACCUCGGGAGACGGAGUUACAGGUGAGGAGAACUGAACUGCCUCUUGGGUCAUUUGCAAGAGCGAGUAAAGCGUGGGUGCUAACUGGAGCCGGGACACUUAGAGCAAGCUUGGACUUGGCUCCUCCAAGGAAGAGAUGAGGCUGUGAGCCUGGGUGUCUCGGUUACAGCUGCGCGCGAUGGUGGUGGCGGCUGAGAAUGCUCUAAAGCUCUCCUGGGAACACCGUGUUCUCUCUUGUCCCUUUGGUGAAUGGGUUCUCGGAGUUCCUGAGACACCGUGGAUAGAUCCCAUUGCACUCUGGUGCUGAGUGGAGCAUCGUCCCCUUCCAUUGAAGCUGGAACAAGAGGCUCGAAUCGUGUCCAGGAAGGCGGAGCUCCUUUGUUUCCUGCAAGACCAUGGAUUGGAAUGAACCUCGGUAAAUCAGUCAGCAAACAUCCACCCAGGCCAGGAAGACAACCCUCCAGCAAAUGCUUCUCUCCUCGCUCCCCGGGCUUACCUCUACCCGGAAGGACAAUGGACUCUGGUGUUCUGUGGUGAUAAAUAAGCUGCUGAAUGGCCCCUUCAUGGACUGGAGAGCAGUUCAGACAGAAAGACUGAUUCCAGGGAAGUCUUCCAGGCACCUGCUCCUACCAGAACAUCUCUUGUGAGGACUGACUGCCUGGUGGCUAUGUGAAGGAGAGGAGGUGGCCUUCAGCCCAGGGGUGUAAGACUGAGGGCAGAAACAGAACCCAAAUGUCUCAGGGAUCUUAAUUCUGGCUGCACAUUGGAGUUACCUGGAUGCUUAAAGAAUGUCACUGGGUCCUCAAGAUUCCUGUUCAGUUACUCUGGGGGUAUUGUUUAGGCAUCCCAUUGGAAAAGCCCCUGAAAUAAUUUUAUUUGAAGGCAAAAUUAAAAACUGCCGAUAUAG